Molecule: ribosomal RNA, 1329 nt
Filed under: Triticum aestivum (bread wheat)
Lineage: Eukaryota; Viridiplantae; Streptophyta; Magnoliopsida; Poales; Poaceae
Description: partial small subunit ribosomal RNA
Source: RNAcentral
AUGGCCCCCAUGGCGCCGAGGAAACGCGCCAGAUACUGCUGCGGCCUCUGCGGCCUCCCAAAGAAGGGCCAUGUCUGCCACUUCGCCGGCGGUUCGUCUUCGGCGCGGCUGGUGCAGGGCCGAGAAGAAGCGCCGCCGCCCAGGGACCCUCCUGCUGCUGGCGCCAAGAAGGAGGAGGUCACCAUCAUCACCGCCCUCCCCAACGACGUCCUAGGCACCAUCAUCUCCGCGCUCCCCAUCGACGAGGCCGCCCGCACAAAUGCCAUCUCCAAAGGCUGGAAACACGUCUGGCGCGACUACACCCCGCUCAACCUCGACGACGGCGACCUCCACAAAAUGGCCUGGACCGGAGACAACCUAGUCGACCUUAUCUCAGACAUCCUCGAGGCUCCACGCGAGGUACGCGCCCGUCGUCUUUCUCUCAGCACGCUAUGCCAGCACUCCGGCGAUCGAGACCGCUACCCCAUCUUCGACCGCUGGUUCCGAUCCAAGGUUCUGGAUCACCUCGAGGAUUUUCAUUUCAGCUACCAGCGGGUGAACAACACCGAACCACUACAGGAUGGCGAGUUGAUGCCGCCGCUGCCGCCAUCCGCGCUGAGCUUUUCCUCCCUCCGCGUCGCCAGCUUUGGUUGCUGCCAUUUCCCUGAGAAUAUCUUAGCCUUGGGCGGCAUCACUUUUCCAUAUCUCAUCGAGCUCACACUCUGCCGGAUAACAAACUCCGAAAACACACUGCACGCCAUGAUAGCCGCAUCUCCAAAUCUUGUCUACUUGUACCUUCACAGAAACUAUCACUUCCGUCGCGUCCACAUCAGCUCGCAAACUAUUGUAAGGUUCCGCAUGUUUGUUGACCCAGACAGUGAUGUGAUGGAAGAACUCCUCAUCGUCAACACUCCAAGCCUAGAGGAAGUGAUGCUCUGGGACCAAGGUGAUUGUGGUCCACGAAUCAUACGUGUCCUGGUUGCCCCAAAACUUCACAUCUUGGGUUGUCUGCACAGCGACAUGAUGUCCACCGUACAGCUUGGGAAGACAGUACUCCAGGUAUAUAUGUAUCUAGGAGCCACACAGGGCAUCUGUAUAUAUCAUUCUUUUGCAAUCUUACUUAUAUACAUAUUCUUUCGUGCUUUGACGAUCCAGGCAAUGGUUGACAGCAGUCUAGUGUCAUCACUGCAUAAUGUAAAGGUCUUGAAGCUUGUUGUCCAUGGUCUUAGGUUAAAUCAUGUCAUUGACGUCCUCCAAUGCUUUCCCUGCUUACAACAGCUUCACAUAAAUACAUUGAUGGAGCCAUGUUCCAAACAAGCAGAACGACAAUCCAGCUGCUACUACUGUUGA